Molecule: unclassified non-coding RNA, 560 nt
Filed under: Hevea brasiliensis (rubber tree)
Lineage: Eukaryota; Viridiplantae; Streptophyta; Magnoliopsida; Malpighiales; Euphorbiaceae
Source: RNAcentral
ACAUGAUAUUGAAUUUUAGAUAAACAAAACAUCAGGAACCACAAGAAAAAGAUGCCAUGCAGUCUUUGAUCAUAUUUUCAAAUAAAUGGCCACUGAUGAUCAUUCUUAGAUUUUACUGAACUCAAAAUUCUUACUGUGCUUCCCUUCCAUUAUUAUAAAAACAUACCAUGAGUCAUCCCACUUGUAACAAACCUCAAUUAUCCUUCACUUAAUCAAGUUCUCAAUUUUAAAAUGCUACACAAUAGUCCAAACAUAACAUAAUAUGCCAUGUGUGCCACAUUUAUGUGCCGGUCAUAGUUUUCAACCGCAGACUGACCCAGCUGGUCAGACUAGGAACUGGGAACCAGCCCAGUUUGCUUAACCUUGUUUGAUGAGACAACUGCUUUAAACCUGCCAAACCAGACAGGUAACCUAUGAACUGGCAGACCCAGUCCUAGUUCAACGGGUUGGGCAAGUUUUGAGAAGGGAUAUGGCAGAUCAAAUACUCGAACCGUUGCCUUCAAAGAGAAUCAAAGGCAUCCACUUGCAAAUGUUGCAACGUGUUCUCCACUUGGCUAGCC